This 253-nucleotide ribosomal RNA is filed under the name uncultured bacterium. RNAcentral describes it as "partial 16S ribosomal RNA". It matches the Rfam family "Bacterial small subunit ribosomal RNA", at positions 524 to 776 of the family's 1533-position model. The record is from RNAcentral.
UACGGAGGGGGCUAGCGUUGUUCGGAAUUACUGGGCGUAAAGCGCACGUAGGCGGCUUUGUAAGUCAGAGGUGAAAUCCCAGUGCUCAACACUGGAACUGCCUUUGAGACUGCAUCGCUUGAAUCCAGGAGAGGUGAGUGGAAUUCCGAGUGUAGAGGUGAAAUUCGUAGAUAUUCGGAAGAACACCAGUGGCGAAGGCGGCUCACUGGACUGGUAUUGACGCCGAGGUGCGAAAGCGUGGGGAGCAAACAGG